Mus caroli (Ryukyu mouse) is the source of this 733-nucleotide long non-coding RNA. RefSeq lists it as uncharacterized. The record is from RefSeq and is a predicted model, not a curated record. NCBI's taxonomy places the organism in Eukaryota, Metazoa, Chordata, Mammalia, Rodentia, Muridae.
AAUGAAAAUUCGCAGCUUCCGUUUUUGCUGAGGAAGGCAGAAACAGGACUGACGGCGGAGCUUCGGUAGUCAAGGUUCCCUAAAACUCCCAAGUGACUCCUCACUGGCUGGCUCACUACAGGGGGACAAAGACUCCACUCGGAAGUGUACAGGCCCCGACCUGAGCCUGAGUGAGACCUCUGCAGCUGCACUCACCCUUUGAGCCAAGGCCUACGAAAUGACUCUCCAUUUAAAGACGCUACCUCUCCCAUGACCAACAAAACUCCACUGCAUCAUGAGGCCUUCAAGAGGGGGUCAUCUUACUUGUGAUUUCGAUUUUGGACCGCCUGCUGCUGGACCUGCUGGAUCUGUUGAGGCGCAGGUCUCUUGCGGGACUGGUCCAUCCCUGACUGGGCCAGACCAGGUCGGACUGAAGGGUUCCCCCCAUAGCCAGGAGGUCCCAUGGAAGGUCCCUGAGGUGUCAUUCGGCUACCUGGCAGCAUACCUGGUCUCUACAGAAGGGAGAGGACCCAGAGAUGUCACACUUUUCCUUGCUAGCCCCACCAAGAAAGGAAAAAUGGUGGCAGCCUGGAUUUCAGGGCUAUAACAGCCUGGGUAUUCCUGGGGACACGGGGGCUGCCCACUCCCCUCUGCAUUCCAUGACCAUCCCAGGGCCCACUUCGCCCAACCUGGUUCCACACUCACUCCUCACACGGAAACAAUGCCGCCGGGAGCAGGUAAGGAUGCUAACCCC